ACUUCUUUACAUUAUGCAUCAAGGAUCAUGUCCAAACAACUCGUCUUUGUACAAUGGAAAGAUAAACUUGAAUGAAAACCAAAUGACAACAUAACCUAGGAAAAUUUGAAAAAAAUAAAUAAAUAAAUAAAAUACACCUUUGCAUCACUUGGGUUGUGGUCAAAUUGCCCCAUAAUCCAACCCACUCAAUGCACACAUUAAGAACACAUCAGUCUUCCAUGAAGAGAAUGCAGAUACUUAGCAGGGAAUAGUUAGACCUUCCUGAUCAAUCAUCGUUAGUUGCACAAACACACCCAAUUGUGGCUUUGCAAACAAAAUGCAUGAAACUCAUGCAACAAAACAUGCAACCCAAGUCCCCGAUCUGUGAGUAGGAACAAGCAUUUGUAGCGUUACAAUCUCACGUUCAGACGAAUGGCAAAGACUACUAGAUGAUGCACAGUCCAUGUUUCAGAAAAUUAGCAUGUUGGUUUUUUUAUUUUUUAUUUUUUUUACGUGAAUAUUCUGCAUGGCACAUCUGCAACAGAAAAUUGUGGAGGGACACUAUCCAUGGAGAAAUGAUCUCAGGCAACAUUUGCGGAUGCCCUGAGACUACAGCAACUUUUUGUAUGGACAUAGAAUCAAUUCUCUGCGCUUUUAGAUCGAAAAGUUUGUUUGUGUUUGUGUUUGUGUGUUUUGGUGUUACAUGAACUUCUUCUUCGUUGUUCGUCUUGUUCGUUGUCUUUCCGUUGUCUCGUUCCACCUCUUUCGAUGGCAUGCGACAAUUUGCUUCUAAAAAUUGUUGCGUAGAGGGACAACAUCAUAAAUGACAUGGCUAUUUGUAUAUUAGUACAACAAGUGCUUCUGAUAGAAAGGUUUUGAUUGUCAAUGAGAAGUAGUUGUGAUUGUUGCAAAUACACUCGUAGACUCUGAAAGUUUGCUGAGAGACAAAGUUGUCUCGAUACACUCUCUAUACAAAAUGUUUUGUCUGCACUUGCGUGAAUCAAGUACAAGCUAUUGCUUGAGGCCGUAGAGAACAAACCUGUGGACCACUGCCUUGAUAUUGCAGUUUCUGAAGGAAUUUGCCCACUUCACAACAUGUUUGUGUAUUUUGGGAAUGCACAGGCGCAGUUAAUCUAUCAAAACUAGCUUCAAUGCAGUGAAGAAUCAAACCCACAAUUGGAUUAGUUGUGAACUUGCCUUCCCUUCCCUUCCCUACUUCACUGGGUACAAGUCUACACAUGCUUGCAAUAAGCAGCAACUCAUGCCGAGCCAAACCCUAUCUUCCCACUUUGCUUUUUUUUAGCAACAUGUUGCAAAAACAAAAUUUUGUUGUUAUUUUUGUUCAUGUUUCUGUCCGCAAUUUAAAGUGGUUCUCGCCUCAAACAAAGCCAAUCCUGAAAAAAUCUGAAAU
RNAcentral lists this long non-coding RNA (1390 nucleotides) under Physcomitrium patens. RNAcentral describes it as "long non-coding RNA (PPAT_LNC000656)". Lineage: Eukaryota; Viridiplantae; Streptophyta; Bryopsida; Funariales; Funariaceae. The record is from RNAcentral.